RNAcentral lists this ribosomal RNA (305 nucleotides) under uncultured bacterium. RNAcentral's name for it is "bacterial SSU rRNA". It matches the Rfam family "Bacterial small subunit ribosomal RNA", at positions 337 to 634 of the family's 1533-position model. The record is from RNAcentral.
GCCUACGGGAGGCAGCAGUGGGGAAUUUUGGACAAUGGGCGCAAGCCUGAUCCAGCUAUUCCGCGUGUGGGAUGAAGGCCCUCGGGUUGUAAACCACUUUUGUAGAGAACGAAAAGACACCUUCGAAUAAAGGGUGUUGCUGACGGUACUCUAAGAAUAAGCACCGGCUAACUACGUGCCAGCAGCCGCGGUAAUACGUAGGGUGCGAGCGUUAAUCGGAAGUACUGGGCGUAAAGGGUGCGCAGACGGUGGAGUAAGCCAGAUGUGAAAUCCCCGAGCUUACCUCGGGAUUGGCAUAGGUGACG